GAGAGAGGCCCAUGGGGCAGUAGUGACUGCUAAUCCCUUCCACCGUGGUUAAAACCCACGGCUCACUCG
This 69-nucleotide transfer RNA is filed under the name Chilodus punctatus (spotted headstander). RNAcentral describes it as "tRNA-Ser (AGY)". The record is from RNAcentral. Lineage: Eukaryota; Metazoa; Chordata; Actinopteri; Characiformes; Chilodontidae.